This 450-nucleotide ribosomal RNA is filed under the name uncultured bacterium. RNAcentral describes it as "partial 16S ribosomal RNA". It matches the Rfam family "Bacterial small subunit ribosomal RNA", at positions 354 to 796 of the family's 1533-position model. The record is from RNAcentral.
GUGGGGAAUUUUGGACAAUGGGCGCAAGCCUGAUCAAGCAAUGCCGCGUGCAGGAAGAAGGCCUUCGGGUUGUAAACUGCUUUUGUACGGAACGAAACGGUCCGGGUUAAUACCCUGGGCUAAUGACGGUACCGUAAGAAUAAGCACCGGCUAACUACGUGCCAGCAGCCGCGGUAAUACGUAGGGUGCAGGCGUUAAUCGGAAUUACUGGGCGUAAAGCGUGCGCAGGCGGUUUUGUAAGACAGGCGUGAAAUCCCCGGGCUCAAACUGGGAAUUGCGCUUGUGACUGCAAGGCUGGAGUGCGGCAGAGGGGGAUGGAAUUCCGCGUGUAGCAGUGAAAUGCGUAGAUAUGCGGAGGAACACCGAUGGCGAAGGCAAUCCCCUGGGCCUGCACUGACGCUCAUGCACGAAAGCGUGGGGAGCAAACAGGAUUAGAUACCCUAGUAGUCC